Molecule: long non-coding RNA, 8651 nt
Organism: Homo sapiens (human)
Lineage: Eukaryota; Metazoa; Chordata; Mammalia; Primates; Hominidae
Exons: 2
Source: RefSeq, a predicted model, not a curated record
AUGAAUGUGGUGGGCGGGGGAGGGAAGGAAUGGAUGUGUGAUGGGUGCAGGUGGAAAUGAAUGAAUGAAUGUGUGGCAGGCGUGGGUAGGAAUGAAUGAAUGUCCACAUGGGGCAGCCCUGCCCUGCCCACCUCGCCCUGGCCGAGGAUCCCUGCCCUGUGCGGGGCCCUCACUUUCUGGUGUGUAAACCUGGUCAGCCUGGACCUGAGAAGCCCCGGAAGUUUCCUCAGCAACCCCUUGUCCCUGCCUGGCCUUUAAGCUCCUUGGUUUGCCGUCGGGGAGCCAGCGCCAGCCGCCUACGCCCGCCUCUCCCCGCACAUAGAGAAGCACGUCCCCGCGUCCCUGUCCAGCUGGUCCCUGAGGACAGCAUCAGGCGCAGCCCUUCACUCGGGUGUGGCUGAGGAUGGCGCCGCCAGGAGAUGACUCACCCCAUCAAAUGUGCGGCAUUUGUCAUUUUUCUCACCAGUUGCUAUUUUUAAAACUCUGUCCUUUGGUUUCUGUAGUAAUUUUGAGCCUCUUUUUAAUAGAACUUCCAAUGCUUUUGUGAAUCUUACACUCGUUGAAAAUGAUGGGGUUAAAAAUGUUUGUUAAACCCAAAACUAAAUGCAGACCGACUUCCAGAGCAGACGUCAGGUGCAGGGCCUGGGGUCUGUUGGUGGUUUGCCUGCCUGCCAGGGCCGCCUGUGGUGGGAACAGGGUCACUGCCCUACGGCCAGGACAGACAACUGUGUGCACUGCCCUGGCCAGCACCCAGCGCCCUCUCCCACCCCUGCUCUCCCCAGAACCUGGGCCUGACAGGAACAGGGCGCCGACUAAGAUAUUUUGCAGCAUGGGGCUCCACAGAGAGCCUGGGACCUAGGUUCCCACUGACAGGAGAAGGGGAAUUGGGGUCUUGGAGCGAGGACAGGCUGCUUGUGCUCUGCCCCGGCACCUGGCUCGGUCUAUGGUGCAGACGCCUCUGCCAGUGUGCAGGCUCUGAACCCCGUGUUCACAGCCGCCCUUCUGGAAUGCCAAGGCGCUGCCUAUCAGAUGCCUGGCCGGCUGGAGCCCCACAGUGCUGGGACGCUGGAGUUUGGUGAGCCCCUCAGUGUACCAGGUGCCAGCCCCUUUACUUCACGAUUCUCACAGCAGUCCUGUGGCAGUGACAUAAUUCUCAUCACAUCACAUGAUUUAUUGGGGUUUCCUCAGGACAGAGGGUGGGGAGCAGGACCGGGUGGGUGAAGGGGCUGAGCAGGGAGGUGACCUCAGCUCGAGUUGCACCGUGGUCUGGUCCCCCACAGGUGCUCCGGAGUGGGAGCUGCACCCUGGGGUGGGCCUGCCCUGAGGCCAGGGGACGCCUUCUGUGCCUCCACGUGGUCAGUCACUGGCGAGGCCUUCACUGGUGGGAGGACAGCUCCCCAGGAGCAGCAGCUCCCUGUGGCCAGACUCAGCUAUCUGGGGAAUGGAGUGGCUGCAAGCUGUCAGACCUCACUCCCAGGAGCUGGCGACGGUGCAGCCGCCAGUGCUGGGGACCAGGUGGGGACCCCCGGUGUCUAUGCCAUCAUGUAGACAAAAUGCUGAUUCAAAUUUGAAAAACACGUUUUCCAUGAUAAAAAUGCACAUGCUUUGCUACGGGCUGUUUCUGUCCCCCAAGCUCAGAUGUUGAAAUCCUAGUCCCCAGGCUGAUGAUGCUAGGAGGAGGGGAGGUGAAUACUCGUCCCCAGGCUGAUGAUACUAGGAGGAGGGGAGGUGAAUCCUCAUCCUCAGGCUGGUGAUACUAGGAGGAGGGGAGGUGAAUCCUCAUCCCCAGGCUGAUGAUACUAGGAGGAGGGGAGGUGAAUACUCGUCCCCAGGCUGGUGAUGCUAGGAGGAGGGAAGGUGAAUCCUCGUCCUCAGGCUGGUGAUACUAGGAGGAGGGGAGGUGAAUCCUCAUCCCCAGGCUGGUGAUACUAGGAGGAGGGGAGGUGAAACCUCAUCCCCAGGCUGAUGAUGCUAGGACAAGGGGAGGUGAUUAGGUCAUGAAUGGAAUUAGUUUCCUUAUGAAAGAGGCCAGGGAGAGACCCCUCACCCCCUCUGCCACAUGCCACCCAGCAAAAAGACAGACGGCUGUCCAAUGGGGAGGUGGCUUCACCAGACACCAAAUCUGCAGGCACCUUAAUCUUGGACUUCCAGCCUCCAGAACUGAGAGAAAUAGAUUCCUGUUGUUUAUAAGCCACCCAGUCUAUGGUAUUUUGUUACAGAAAGCUGAACGGAGUGAGACAUGCCCUGUAGAAAAUGAAGAAUCUGCAGAAAAUUAUAAGAAAGAAGGAAAAGCAAAAUGGCACAGACCCUCCACUUAGGAAUCGUUGACUCCAGCAGACAUUAGCACAGCCUUUUACUCUCUCCAUAUGUUUCACACUCAGCUGCGUACUACGGAGGCCGUUGUGCAUAUGGCGACUGUAAGGCAUCAUUGGGAAUAUCAUGAGGUGACAUGACGUAGAGUUUGACGAAUGGGGUGACAGACCCUAUCUGUCACCGGGAGGCUUAUUGGUCUUCUGGUGCAGAAACAAGCCCCUGACUCAUGUCAUUAAAUGUAAGUUACGGCCACAAGCAUGUGGAAAAUCAUCGCUCAAGCACCUUGGCAAUAACAGUGGCAUGGUGUGGCUUCACGAGUCUUUUUAAGGGGAAAAAGAAGUGUUUCGUUCAGUAAUUGCUCCUGGAUGGGGGCCCAGCCUGCAACAGCUUGGCAUGUGGAAGGCUCUGGUGCCAGGUACAAUGCUGAAGAAUCAGAUGCGGAAAGAGAGUCUCUCUGAACCGCAAAGCCAAAUAUUAGGUUGAACCCUAUAGAAUUUUAACCUACAAAAUGGACAAUUUAAUAUCGUUUCACUGAUUGGUCCAAAGCACAUUUUGUAGAAUCAAGGAAGGAACCAAGCCCAAGAAAAGCAGGGCGGGGAAGUCAUGGGGGCAGAACUCCCCACCACACCCCAUCCUUCUUGCCCCUACCCUGCACCAGCGAUGGCCUGAUUCUUGAGUCUGGGGUCCCAGUAACUUCCCUAGUCUUGAAUUCUUAGCUUUGAUUCAUCCCUCAGGGUUUGGGGCUCAUGUUCAAGUCAGCUUUUCAAAGUUGUUCCUGAGGAUAGCAUUGUCUGCCCAUUGAUUUGAGAAGGCCCUUCUGCGACCUUCAGGAACGGGAAAGGUGGCCUGGCACCAACAUGUUCCUUCCGGGCGUGGAGGCCAGGGUGCUGCUGCAUCACCGGGCUCACAAACUCAGCCGGAGCUGCGUGAGGCCUGGUCCUCUGAAGUGCACUUCUUCAAGUUACUGGGAACUUGGUUUGUCCCCAAACCACCCCCGACCCCGCCCGCCUCCGCAGCUCAGGAAAGUUCAGCGCUUCCUCCUCCUCCUCACCUGCUCCCCACCCUGCCUCUCUUUCCUCUGGGGAGCACCUGCUGCCCAGCUCCCUGCCCCUUCCUGCCAUGCCCGGGCUCCCUCCUUCCCCGCUUCAUUCUCCGCGUCACAUAUUUUGUCUUCUUCAGCAUCAGUUCUGUAUGUUUCUGUUCCCAGGCAGUUUUGAUCCACGCGUGGUUUUAUUUCGUUGCCAUCAUUCCAUUCUCCAGUUCCCGCUGUCUUUCUCAUCAGCCUGGCUUGCCCAUGGUGGGCAUGCGACAGUUGCUAAAAAUACCCUUCGGGCGGGCGGCUGGAGAAAUCAUUUUCAUGGGGCACCCUCCCUCCCAGCCUUAUGAGAUGCGGUUGUGUUUGAUUCGUCCUGCCGCAAUUUUCCAAGGCCCCGGUUGCUGGGCUUCCUCUUCCUCAUCCUCAGCCCUGUUUCCCGACCCACUGAAUGGAUGAAGUGUCAGACAAAACGCCUGCUGUAUACCCAGUGUGAACAGGGCCGUGGUCCAGGGCAGGAUGCUGCCUUCUGAAUGCAGGGCUCACCUCCAGCUCAACUGUCCCCACUCCCGGUGGGUUUUGAAGACUGAUGAGUGGGAAGAGAAGGCAGUGUCAGUGCAUAGGAGGCAGACCCCGUCUUCUGGUGGGGAAAAAAGCAUUUUUCUAUUUUGGGACGUGAGAGAGGAGAUGAAGCACCUCCUUCCCUGUGUUCAUCCUGGCGGGCUGGCUUCAUCUCUCUACCUCACUGCGUUUGGAAUCACUUUGUAGGCGACACACACUCAUACCUGUCCUAGCUUCCAAUGCUCUGUGAGCCUUGUUCUCUUAUAAGCCCUGAGAUGGGGAACCGUGGACCAGGGGCUGUUUUAAAGCAACAGUCCCACGAUUGUUCCAAUUUUUCCCACACAUGAGACUCUGCACCUCUCAUUUAAAAUGUCAGUUUUUGAGGGGCGGAAGUGACGCCUCACAUUUUCUCUGCACCCCCGUCAAGUCUGAAAUCGUGCCGGAUGCAGAGGAGACACUCAGCUCAGAGUGGCUGCUCUGGUUUAGGGCUGAGGGCUCAGAAGCUCCUGGGUUUAGAGUCAGCAGAGGAAUCUGUGCUGUGAGAAGUCGACGCAUCUCGGUCAGCGUGGGUGGCACAGUGCACGCCUGAUCGCGUGUUCUUUUGUUUUAAAAUUCUACCGCACUGUCAUAAAACACUUCCUGCAUCGAGGCGGAGCUCACCUCCAUCAGGCUGCAGUUUCCUCAUCUGUAAAAUGGGAGUAAUAUACCCACUGUUAUGGGCGUUUUUGGGGGGAUCUUGAGGACUGAGUCAGGUGAUGCUGGGGAAUGGAGUGCCCAGGGCCUGGCCCCUCGGGAGCUGGGGUUUGUUCAUUUGUUUCCUUUGUUAGGUGGGAAGGCAGCGUGGACCUGCCUGGCUCCCAGGGGCACCUGCUUUCCAAGGCGUGGAUGCUCUGGGAUGAGGCCUCCUCCCACUCUGCCCAUUCUGUCUGUGACACUGGCCCUCUGGGUUUGCUUUCAGGUCCCCAGAUGUGCAGCUUCUGUCUCCUCUGGGCUUUUGGAUGUGGUUUUUGCCAGAGUGGCCCCUUACUCCGACCUGGGACUGGCACUCACUCCUUCCUGGGAGCCCGCCCCGCUCUUGGUUCCUCUUCUGUGCCCUCCCAGGACACCCUCACUCUUUGCUGCUCUCUCUCCCCUCUGGGCAUCCUAAUUGCCACUUUCCAGGCUGCCUCUCCCCUCAGACCAUAAGUCUCGAAAGCAGGGACAGCGUCUCUCAUUCACAGUACGGGCGGGUGACGAUGGAUGCAUUCUUAAAAAUGUAAUUGAUAACAUGACAUAAAACUUAGCAUUUUAACCAUUUCACAUGCACAGUUCGGUGUCACUAAGCACAUUCACAAUGCUGCGCAGCCCUCAGUACCCUCCACCCGUGGAGCCUUUCUUCUCAGACUGAAGCCCUGUCCCCUUUAAACGCCAACCGCUCCCCUUCCCGCAGCCCCUGGCACCUGCCCUUCUCUCUGUCUCUAUGAGUUUGACUCUAGGGACCUCGUACGAUAGACUCCUACAGGAUUUGUCCUUUUGUGACCGGCUUAUUCCACUGAGCACAACGCCCUCAAGGUGCUCCCUGUCAUGGUGUGCCGGCCGUUCCUUCCAUUUUAAGGUUGAAUACUGUAACAAAUAUAUUUCACAUAGAGCAAAUGUUUGCACGUAGCUCCUCUGAGAUGGGGUCCCGUGGUUUCUGUUUGGACCUUUCCAGGGACAAGGAACUCCCACAUGGGGUGGCCACUUCCUUACGGGGCAGGUCUGAUAGCUAGACUGUUACUUAUUUGUACAGAGCUGGUCCUGGCUCUGCACUCCGGCAUCCCUGCGUGCAGACAGGGAGAGGUCUGGCAUCUGCUGCUGUAUGGCCGGCGUCUCUCACAUGGCCUCAGACCCCAGGAGCUCUGGAAGUGGCCUCUUUCUGCCUCCAAGAUGGAUGGAAGACGUGGCUCGGCCCGGCCUCACCUUCUGACCUGUCCCCUCUGCCAGCCCACCCAACCCAAAUGCUCUGAAGGAACUGUACUCGGUAGCCCUCCAUGGGGAGCCGCCCAGCACAUUGUGGAGGGGCCUGGAGUGCUGGGGCUGCCUUUCCUGGCAGUGCCAGCAGCCAGCAGUUUUUUUUUAUCUCAAAGCAGAGGUGUGUGGUGUUUUCCUGCUGCCCACCUUUCCAGGUGGAGAAAGAAAUGGGUCCUGGCUCCAGGAAGGGGGGAAACCAUGUCCCUGUACCGUGCCUCAGUUUCCCCAUCUGUACACUGUGGAAUGGCAGUGCGUGGGCAGGGCAGGCAGAGGGGCCGCCCCACAGUGCCAGCCUGUGUGCACCAGCUCUGUUGUCACGGCUGCCCAGCGCCCGGAGCUUAGUGAGGUUAGAGCUUUUCAUCGUUCUCCUUCCCCUACAAACCUACAAACUCAAAAGUUAAUAUAGUAGCGUGUCUUUGCUCUUUUAAACCAAUGACGUAAGUCACUUCACCAGUUUGCUUUACACCGGUUAAUCAAUUACUGAACAGUUGCAGUAUCCUCCUCUCUUUUGCUGUUAGCUGGUGCUAACUGAAGUAAAAGCGAGUGUCAUCUCUCCGGCCCUCACCGCUGCCUUCACCACCAUUUACCCACGCGGAUGUUGAGCUUCCCGCCAGGGCUCAGGGAGCUCACAGUGGGAAGCAGAGGGCUUGAGAAGGGGUGGCUCUGCCUGACACUCCCCGGCUCCCAGCUGGGCCCACUUCCAGGUAGUGGGUUGGGGCAGGACCCGCAGGGCACAGUGCUUCCCCUGCCCUUCCCCACGGGGUUGGAGGCUCUGGAGGCAGCACCCUCCCUGGGGAAUCCUGGGGAUUCAGGAACAUCCCGAAGGUGCUCAUUUUCAUCCGUGGUUAAAUGCUGAGUUUGUCUUGGCUGCUGGGUUGAGCCCUGGAGCCACAUCCUGGCCGGAGCAGCUCUCCCGUCUAUAGGUCCUGGCCCACCUUGCCCCUUGUGCUUCUGCACUGGCGCCCCUUGUGCUUCUGCACUGGCACCCCUUGAGAGGGCAGCUUGGGCAAAAGAAAGGCUUGCUUUUGAGUAAAUUGGUGGCAGACCCCUCUCAGCGAACUUCAGCCCACUUGCUUUUGGAAAAUGACUCUGCGUGUUAUUAUGUUUUGCAAGACAUCAAAGGAUGUGGAAAAUCCAUUAUAAAUACCAGGGUAUGUUGCUCGCCCGAAGGGCCAGGGUUACUGAGGUGGGGGCGGGGGUGGAGCCUUGGGUUUCCAUUCAGUUCCUUCUGCUCUCCUUCCCCUCCGUGGCCCCAAGCAGGGACCUCUCCUCCCUGGGGCUUGACCCAGUGGCUGGAGGGAGGGAGGGGCCUGUCUGAAUUCACCCUCUGCACUGCUGCACCUGGAGCUGCUGCUGCGCCCAGGGUUCUUGGGUGCACCGGUAAAGGCGAGCAGCUGGUGGGUCAGAGGGAGGAGGCAAAGGGAAAUGAAAUGCUCCAAGCCCUCUCAAGGCAGAGAUUGGCAUCUUCCAGCAUUGAAGAGGCACUGUUGGGCGGGUGAGGCCUUCGGGAGGAAACAAACGCGGUACGCCAGGGAGUGGGGGCUGUCGGCUGCCGGGAACAAGGCUGCAUGGUGUGUGCGUGUGUGUGCAUGUGUGCGUGUGUGUGCAUGUGUGUGCUUGUACGCGUGUGCGUGUGUGCAUGUGUGUGCUUAUGUGCAUGUGCGUGUGUGCACUUGUGUGCUUGUGCUUGAGUGCGUGUGCACUCACUGCAGGUCAUGGGGGCAGACCUGGGAGGGGGAGUCUGGGCUCCAGGGCCAGCUCUGUGACUUUUAGUCAACAGCUCCUCCUCUUUAAGCCUCAGUUUCCCCUCUGUGCACAGAGGCCCUGGGCUGCAGCCCUGAGCACUGCCCUCUCCCGUGGGCUCCCCAGGUGUGUAGAACAGUUUGCAGAGUGCUGGCCUGGGUCCCAGGGCCCGUCUGUCUCCCGCUUGUUGGUAAGAAUCCCUGAAGAAUUCUGUGCAGAAUCCCUCGUUUCCUCCAGCAGGUAUCUGACAGGCACCACAACCUGAGCAUGUGUAGAUGGACGCUGGUUUCUUCUGCUCUCUGCCUCAUCUCAGGUCCGGCCCUGCCACCUGUCCAGGGGCUUAGCCCAGAACCCCAGAAUCUGCUUUGAUGCCCCCGGGUCUGCAGGCAGACUUUGCUCUCGAAGGCACCUGAGUCUCACCUCCUUGGCCGUCAGCUUGGCACAAGUUACCCUGGCUGCUCCCCAGACUGUUCCCAUGGCCUGGCCCUGGCCGGGGACUCCCACUCUGCUUGCGGUCCUGAAGACAGCCAGAGAGGCCUUUGAGAGUGGAAGGCAGACACCAUAUGCCACCGCCCCCAGCUGACACUCAUAGGGGCUGCCCCUCAUGCUCUGGAUAAAACUCCGACUGGCUACUGUGCCUCUUUGGGUCUCCCCGGCCCAGGCCUGGCCAGGGGUUCCAGCCUUCACCAGGGGAAGGAGCAUCUGUGAGUCCAGGGAGUGUGCCUGGCCCAAUGCCUCUGCCCAGGGCCUUUGUGCCUGCCGUCCCCUCCCCAAUUCCACGCCUCCUGUUGCCCUCCGCAGAGGCACCUCUCCCGUGACCUCCAAGCACACCACCCACUAAAUCUCCGCCCUUCCUCUGCCUGCCUGCCCUCCCAGCACAGCCACUCUGUCCGCUCAGGCUCCUGAGCUGCUUACUUGUUCACCUGUCUUCUGCUGGAGACCAGGGAGCCCUCCCCUCGCUGGCUGUGGGGUCUGGGAACAAAGCAGUCUUAAUAAAUACUUCUCGAAAGAA